GCAAGAGGCAAAAGAGAAAUACAGAUGAAUCUGAUUAUGGGGACUUAAAGAAACAUCACUAAGAGAAUCAUCACUGAGAAAUUAAACUUGCAGCUGUAUCCCAAUGCAGUCAAAAGAGUGAGAGAUAUAGAGGGGAAGAGAGAUGGAUGAUCACAUGUAGACAAGAGUGUUCAGUUAAUCAACAGUAAAAAAUGUAAUCAACUGCAAAAAAUGUUGUAGCCUUUCUUUUUUUUUUUUUGUACUGAUGGAAAAUAACCUUGUUCUUAUUCUGAAAAUUGAACUAAUUAAUAAUCUAAAUUAAAAUCUAAAUGUUUUAUUAUUUGUUAA
Electrophorus electricus (electric eel) is the source of this 327-nucleotide long non-coding RNA. RefSeq lists it as uncharacterized. NCBI's taxonomy places the organism in Eukaryota, Metazoa, Chordata, Actinopteri, Gymnotiformes, Gymnotidae. The record is from RefSeq and is a predicted model, not a curated record.